Molecule: ribosomal RNA, 500 nt
Filed under: uncultured Myrionecta
Lineage: Eukaryota; Ciliophora; Litostomatea; Cyclotrichida; Mesodiniidae
Description: SSU rRNA
Rfam family: Eukaryotic small subunit ribosomal RNA
Source: RNAcentral
GUGACUCAGACUAGCCAUGCACGUCUAGUACAAACUAAAUGAUGGUGAAACUGCAAAUGGCUCAUUACAACGGUUAUGAUGUACCCGGGAGUUCCGAUGGAUAUUUCCAGUAACACUAGAACUAAUACAUGUCCCUGCGUUUAUUAGUUUCGCACAGUCCGUCGCUGAGUCAUGGUAAACAGUUGAUCGACUCGACGUCCCGGAACAGUUUCCGCCCCAUCAGCUUCGAUGGUUGGGUAUUGGCCUACCAUUGCAACAACGGGUAACGAGGAAUUAGGGUUUGAUUUCGGAGAGGGAGCCUGAGAAACGGCUACCACAUCUACGGAUGGCAGCAGGCGCGCAAAUUACCCAAUGCAGACACUGUGAGGUAGUGACGAGAAAUAAUAAAGCGGGACUUCUGUUUCGCUAUUAUAAUGAGGAAUAACCAAAGGUCAUUCCGAUUAGCAACUGAUGGGAAAGUCUGGUGCCAGCAGCCGCGGUAAUACCAGCGUCAGUAGCAU